RNAcentral lists this ribosomal RNA (253 nucleotides) under uncultured bacterium. RNAcentral describes it as "partial 16S ribosomal RNA". It matches the Rfam family "Bacterial small subunit ribosomal RNA", at positions 524 to 776 of the family's 1533-position model. The record is from RNAcentral.
UACGUAGGGUGCAAGCGUUGUCCGGAAUUAUUGGGCGUAAAGGGCUCGUAGGCGGCCAACUAAGUCCGACGUGAAAUCCCCAGGCUUAACCUGGGAACUGCGUCGGAUACUGGAUGGCUUGAAUCCGGGAGAGGGAUGCGGAAUUCCAGGUGUAGCGGUGAAAUGCGUAGAUAUCUGGAGGAACACCGGUGGCGAAGGCGGCAUCCUGGACCGGCAUUGACGCUGAGGAGCGAAAGCCAGGGGAGCAAACGGG